CACCCCAAUGCGUGUGUUGUCAUACAUGCUCCUCCGCUUCACUCUGCUACUCAGCUUCCUCCUUGGAAACGUGCAUAGGCUGGUUGUAUUAGGGUUCUGGAUGUGGCAGGACCUACGACAGAUCACCUUCUUUAUCAUCAACACCCUGGUCUCCAGCCUCCACAUAAACCUAGAAGACAGAAACCUACAAGACAGAUAGACAGACAGACCUGGACUACAGAAAAGGACUCCAACCAGUACACGAUCAUGCUCCGCUUGGAUCUGGAGUGAAGGGAUAUAGAGAAGGUGGUGGAGAAUGAGGGGGAUGGAGGCAGAGAAGGAGUGGAGACUAUCACCACUGUACCUCUCUGCCCUGGGCUGAAG
This is a long non-coding RNA of Oncorhynchus tshawytscha (Chinook salmon), 363 nucleotides long. The record is from Ensembl. NCBI's taxonomy places the organism in Eukaryota, Metazoa, Chordata, Actinopteri, Salmoniformes, Salmonidae.